This 1801-nucleotide unclassified non-coding RNA is filed under the name Agrilus planipennis (emerald ash borer). RNAcentral describes it as "glutamate-gated chloride channel, transcript variant X2". The record is from RNAcentral. Lineage: Eukaryota; Metazoa; Arthropoda; Insecta; Coleoptera; Buprestidae.
CCGCAGUCACGGCUUCCUAGAUUAGGAUUCCUUGUCUUCCGAUCGGCAUUGCGACGCGAAUACGUCCGUUGAAUUGACCUAGUGCGUGACGGGAGAUUUUCUUUUUUGAAAUUCGCGCCACGGGUUCAUGCUAAUAAUAACGGUACUACAACUUCCAUGGCAUACUACCCGUCUUGUGUCGUCUUUAUCGCCAGUGAUAUGUGACAAAACACCCUGUCGAUAAAAAGUCACAAGUUAGUUUGUAAAUGAUGUCAUCAAGGUUGGUUAGGAUCAGGGCAAGAAUGAAUCAAUAGCGAAAGACAGCAAGCGCUAAGUUUACUAGGUAUGCUUGGCACCGCUGAUUGAUAAUGGUGUCCUAAUAUGGGUCGAGCAUGGCUACAAAUUGGAGCUGCUGUGUUUUUCUUGAUUACCAUGAGAAUUUGUUGUGCUGAUAACGACAUGAAUUUUCCGUCUUCGAGAUAUCAUAACAAAGUGAAAAGAUGGGUGCAAUGCUCCACCGCUGGAACUAGAAAUCAGAGAUCAAAAACGUACAUAAGAUUCGCCGAAGGAAAAUCAGACAAAGAAAUUCUCGAUGACUUGUUGAAACCAUCCCGAUAUGACAGGCGUCUGUUGCCUCCAGUUACAGGUUCACUAGUUGUAAAUAUGAGUGUGUUACUUCUAAGUUUAGCAUCCCCUGACGAAUCAAGUUUGAAAUACGAAGUAGAAUUUUUACUGCAACAACAAUGGUACGACCCACGAUUGAAAUACACAAACCAAAGCAAGUUCGACUACUUGAACGCCAUCCAUCAUCACGAAUUUAUGUGGCUGCCGGACACCUAUUUCAUUAUGCAUGGGGACUUUAAAGAACCUCUCAUUCCCGUACAUUUCGCCCUCAGGAUAUAUAGAAAUGGUACCGUGCAUUAUGUCAUGAGGCGUCAUCUCAUUUUGUCGUGUCAAGGUCGAUUAAACGUUUUCCCAUUUGACGAUCCAAAGUGCGUAUUUGCCAUGGAAAGUAUUUCAUACGAACAAUCUUUAAUUAAAUACGUAUGGAAAAACGACGAAACAACGCUGAGAAAGUCGCCGAGUUUGACAACCCUAAACGCGUACCUUAUUUCUAACAAAACCAUCGACUGUCCCACCAAGGCAAGCUGGAGGGAGAACUUCAGCUGCCUGAGGGUAGAAUUAGAGUUCACCCGUGACAGAGCGUUUUAUUUUACAACCGUGUUCAUCCCAGGAAUUAUACUGGUCACUUCUUCGUUUAUUACGUUUUGGUUAGAAUGGAACGCUGUUCCAGCUAGAGUAAUGAUAGGUGUAACUACAAUGCUCAACUUUUUCACUACAUCGAAUGGUUUUCGAUCGACAUUACCUGUUGUGUCCAAUUUAACCGCCAUGAAUGUAUGGGAUGGCGUUUGUAUGUGUUUCAUAUACGCAUCAUUGUUGGAGUUUGUUUGUGUGAAUUACGUUGGAAGAAAGAGGCCUUUACAUAACGUAGUCUAUAGGCCAGGGGAAAACCCCUUUACCCAGAAAGGUGUAACCCGAACUUUGUUUGAUCUGUCAUGUUGCAGCGACUGCCCGCUGUUCUAAGCAGGAUAGGCAUUAUACUCGCCAGUCCCUUGGGUGACAAGAAAAGGGACUCCAAUGUACCCAACGAAAUAGUCGCCUGUAGCACGUGCGGAGCCAGCACUUGUACGCACACCGCAAAUAACGGAUGUCCCACAGAGGCAUGUAUUUUACAGGUUCGCAAGAAGGAGCCCCCCCAUCCCAUACGUGUGGCAAAAACAAUAGACGUUAUAGCACGUGUAACGUUCCCAUCUGCCUUUGC